This 253-nucleotide ribosomal RNA is filed under the name uncultured bacterium. RNAcentral describes it as "partial 16S ribosomal RNA". It matches the Rfam family "Bacterial small subunit ribosomal RNA", at positions 524 to 776 of the family's 1533-position model. The record is from RNAcentral.
UACGUAGGGUGCGAGCGUUGUCCGGAAUUAUUGGGCGUAAAGGGCUCGUAGGCGGUUUGUUGCGUCGGAAGUGAAAACUCAGGGCUUAACCCUGAGCCUGCUUCCGAUACGGGCAGACUAGAGGUAUGCAGGGGAGAACGGAAUUCCUGGUGUAGCGGUGAAAUGCGCAGAUAUCAGGAGGAACACCGGUGGGGAAGGCGGUUCUCUGGGCAUUACCUGACGCUGAGGAGCGAAAGUGUGGGGAGCGAACAGG